Molecule: ribosomal RNA, 429 nt
Filed under: Pseudomonadota bacterium
Lineage: Bacteria; Pseudomonadati; Pseudomonadota
Description: Proteobacteria bacterium partial 16S ribosomal RNA
Rfam family: Bacterial small subunit ribosomal RNA
Source: RNAcentral
UGGGGAAUAUUGGACAAUGGGCGAAAGCCUGAUCCAGCCAUGCCGCGUGUGUGAAGAAGGUCUUCGGAUUGUAAAGCACUUUAAGUUGGGAGGAAGGGCAGUAAGCGAAUACCUUACUGUUUUGACGUUACCGACAGAAUAAGCACCGGCUAACUCUGUGCCAGCAGCCGCGGUAAUACAGAGGGUGCAAGCGUUAAUCGGAAUUACUGGGCGUAAAGCGCGCGUAGGUGGUUCGUUAAGUUGAAUGUGAAAGCCCCGGGCUCAACCUGGGAACUGCAUCCAAAACUGGCGAGCUAUAGUAGGGCAGAGGGUGGUGGAAUUUCCUGUGUAGCGGUGAAAUGCGUAGAUAUAGGAAGGAACACCAGUGGCGAAGGCGACCACCUGGGCUCAUACUGACACUGAGGUGCGAAAGCGUGGGGAGCAAACAGG